GAAACGGCUCUUUUCAGAGCCACCUAUUUUUGUCUAAAAGGGAAUUU
Non-coding RNA from Ciona savignyi (Pacific transparent sea squirt), 47 nucleotides. The record is from Rfam. Lineage: Eukaryota; Metazoa; Chordata; Ascidiacea; Phlebobranchia; Cionidae.